This 305-nucleotide ribosomal RNA is filed under the name uncultured fungus. RNAcentral describes it as "SSU rRNA". It matches the Rfam family "Eukaryotic small subunit ribosomal RNA", at positions 1448 to 1751 of the family's 1831-position model. The record is from RNAcentral. Lineage: Eukaryota; Fungi.
AGGCAAUAACAGGUUUGUGAUGCCCUUAGAUGUUUUGGGCCGCACGCGCGCUACACUGACUGAGCCAGCGAGUUUAUAACCUUGGCCGAAAGGUCUGGGUAAUCUUGUGAAACUCAGUCGUGCUGGGGAUAGAGCAUUGCAAUUAUUGCUCUUCAACGAGGAAUGCCUAGUAAGCGUGAGUCAUCAGCUCGCGUUGAUUACGUCCCUGCCCUUUGUACACACCGCCCGUCGCUACUACCGAUUGAAUGGCUUAGUGAGAUCUCCGGAUUGGCUUUGGGAAGCUGGCAACGGCCUCCUAUGCGAGA